CUCUGAGGGAUGAAGGCCUGUGGAUUGUAAACCUCUUUUCUCAAGGAAGAAUAGAUGACGGUACUUGAGGAAUCAGCAUCGGCUAACUCCGUGCCAGCAGCCGCGGUAAUACUGAGGAUGCAAGCGUUAUCCGGAAUUAUUGGGCGUAAAGUGUCCGUAGGCGGUUUUACAAGUCUGCUGUUAAAGCGUGGGGCUUAACUCCAUAAGGGCGGUGGAAACUGUAAGACUAGAGUGAGGUAGGGGUAGAGGGAAUUCCCGGUGUAGCGGUGAAAUGCGUAGAUAUCGGGAAGAACACCAGUGGCGAAAGCGCUCUACUGGGCCUUGACUGACACUGAGGGACGAAAGCUAGGGGAGCGAAAGGGAUUAGAUACCCCUGUA
This 378-nucleotide ribosomal RNA is filed under the name uncultured cyanobacterium. Its description in RNAcentral is "bacterial SSU rRNA". It matches the Rfam family "Bacterial small subunit ribosomal RNA", at positions 399 to 792 of the family's 1533-position model. The record is from RNAcentral. Lineage: Bacteria; Bacillati; Cyanobacteriota.